GACGAACGCUGGCGGCGUGCUUAACACAUGCAAGUCGAACGGAAAGGCCCUGCUUUUGUGGGGUGCUCGAGUGGCGAACGGGUGAGUAACACGUGAGUAACCUGCCCUUGACUUUGGGAUAACUUCAGGAAACUGGGGCUAAUACCGGAUAGGAGCUCCUGCUGCAUGGUGGGGGUUGGAAAGUUUCGGCGGUUGGGGAUGGACUCGCGGCUUAUCAGCUUGUUGGUGGGGUAGUGGCUUACCAAGGCUUUGACGGGUAGCCGGCCUGAGAGGGUGACCGGCCACAAUGGGACUGAGAGACGGCCCAGACGCCUACGGGAGGCAGCAGGGGGGAAUAUUGCACAAUGGGCGGAAGCCUGAUGCAGCAACGCCGGGUGCGGGAUGACGGGCUUCGGGUUGUAAACCGCUGUCGCCUGUGACGAAGCGGGAGUGACGGUAAUGGGUAAAGAAGCACCAGCUAACUACGUG
This 468-nucleotide ribosomal RNA is filed under the name uncultured bacterium. RNAcentral's name for it is "partial 16S ribosomal RNA". It matches the Rfam family "Bacterial small subunit ribosomal RNA", at positions 28 to 507 of the family's 1533-position model. The record is from RNAcentral.